Non-coding RNA from Pantherophis guttatus, 973 nucleotides. Lineage: Eukaryota; Metazoa; Chordata; Lepidosauria; Squamata; Colubridae. The record is from RefSeq and is a predicted model, not a curated record.
GUGCUACUGGCUAUAGGAAGCUGCUGGGACAUUGGUUGCACAGCUCCUAAAUUGUGAACACAUGACCGUGGAGUCUUUAGGAUGGCUGAACUUUGCGGACUAAUCGUUAAGUACCACUUGUUCAGCGUUAUUAUAACUUCAAAUAGUUGCUGGACAAAUGGUCAUGAAUCAAGGACUUACCUGUAAUGUUCUGUUAUAUAUCAAAGAACAACAAAGCCAAGCCAAAGCAAACCAACAGUCUUACUGCAGGAAAGAAUUCAACCAUAUCAAAACCCAAAGGCCUUCAGGAAUACCCAAGUCUUGAAUUCUAAAACGUGCCAAUCUUACCUCAGAUAAUAUUCCCAAAAUAAGAGGGUGAUUUACAGAGAAGUUCCACCCUCUACUGAUGACACUCCAUCGAAGUAAGAGGCCAAAAACACCAAGGAGCCUCAUUUCCUUCACCAAAGACCUGUGUGAGGAGUCAAGUCUUCACAGCUGUUCUGAAUAACAGCAGGGGGGGGGCAACCUCAUUUCAGAGGGCAGGCACUGCUCAAGAAAAUGAACACUUCCAGAAUCCUGAUAGAUGACAUCAUUUAAUUGAAGGAACCCAGAGUGCGCAAAGUCAAAUUGGCCAAGCAGAUACUAUGUCAGGCAGUUCCUUUAAAAAAAUAAAAACAAGCCAUAUGCCAUGUAGAGUUUUAUAGGUAAUGACCAACCCCUUGAGCAGCAGGUUUACAAUAGUGGGUAUUUGUGGGUUUUGCUUUGUACCUAAAUUAUCAAAUACCACUUUUGGCUCUAAAUGCUUUUUGCCUUUUCAGCUAGUUUGCCAUAUACUGUAUUGCAAGGUAUAGAAGCAUCAUCAGGAAAACAUAAUAUUGUAUAAUAUGCUAUGUUAAAAAAUGAACUGGAAAUUUCUGCUAUUAAGGAACUCCUCUGCUCACUUCUCAACUGAAGUAUUGUUAUUACUAAUAAAGUUUUAUCUUGGCCCUGGCAA